CCUACGGGUGGCAGCAGUGGGGAAUAUUGCACAAUGGGGGAAACCCUGAUGCAGCGACGCCGCGUGAGUGAAGAAGUAAUUCGUUAUGUAAAGCUCUAUCAGCAGGGAAGAAAAUGACGGUACCUGAGUAGAAACCCCCGGCUACCUCGGUCCCAGAAGCCGCGGUAAUACGUAGGGGGAAGGCGUAAUCCGGAUUUACUGGGUGUAAGGGGAGCGUAGACGGCAGUGCAAGUCUGGAGUGAAAGGCGGGGGCUCAACCCCCGGACUGCUCUGGAAACUGUACGGCUGGAGUGCAGGAGAGGUAAGUGGAAUUCCUAGUGUAGCGGUGAAAUGCGUAGAUAUUAGGAGGAACACCAGUGGCGAAGGCGGCUUACUGGACUGUAACUGACGUUGAGGCUCGAAAGCGUGGGGAGCAAACAGGAUUAGAUACCCCAGUAGUC
This 440-nucleotide ribosomal RNA is filed under the name uncultured bacterium. RNAcentral describes it as "partial 16S ribosomal RNA". It matches the Rfam family "Bacterial small subunit ribosomal RNA", at positions 338 to 795 of the family's 1533-position model. The record is from RNAcentral.